Molecule: ribosomal RNA, 255 nt
Filed under: uncultured bacterium
Lineage: Bacteria
Description: partial 16S ribosomal RNA
Rfam family: Bacterial small subunit ribosomal RNA
Source: RNAcentral
UACGUAGGGGGCAAGCGUUGUCCGGAUUUAUUGGGCGUAAAGAGCGUGUAGGCGGUUUGGUAGGUCCGUUGUGAAAACUGGAGGCUCAACCUCCAGCCUGCAGUGGGUACGGGCAGACUAGAGUGCGGUAGGGGAGAUUGGAAUUCCUGGUGUAGCGGUGGAAUGCGCAGAUAUCAGGAGGAACACCGAUGGCGAAGGCAGAUCUCUGGGCCGUAAACUGACGCUGAGGAGCGAAAGCAUGGGGGAGCGAACAGG